ACUGGAUUCUUCCCGCGUUCCCGUUUGUGGUUCACGCACUUUUGUUUUCCCGCCAGCGAGGAUGCCAAACUGCUGUGUUUUCUUUUGAACUCUCUUGUUUGCCGUGCUUCCUUUGAAACCUCGACGGUGACCACGCGCUGCGCUCGGACAGCUCGGUGCCCAAAUCCUCGUUUUCUUUUGUAAAUGCGCUUCACUUUCCUUCCGUGUUGUCUCCACUGGAGUCCGGCCGCCCGUUUGUUCUUCUGCAUUCAACUCCGCGGCCGCGUCGGGAAUCCCUCCCGAGCCGCCGUAUAUGCCGUGAGUCGGCGAUUUUGUCGUCCCGUCGCCCGAUGGGAAGGACUCGCGACGGUUCAUCCCAUUUAUUGUCUCUCCCACAUUGCAUCUUGAGGCCUCGUCGACAGCUGGAAAAGCAAGAUAUGCCGUGACGCGUUCCCCCCCCCAUACCAAAACCAAAACGUUCCCCCUUCCCGGCGUCGUCUUUCAGGAGUUGCGCUCGCAAAACGAUCUUCGAACUCAUUCGCUGCCGGCCGUUUCGCUCGAAUGCAGUGAGGUCGCGCCGUAUCGCACGUUGAUGAUCCCCAAUUGCCUCUCUGUGGAAAAUGUGCAGUAUAUUCAUGAUAUAUUUCUAUCAUCAUGGAAGGGUCACUUGGACUGCUGUCACUCAUUGAAUUGCGGUGGUGUUUUUUUUUUGUUUGUUUUGUUUCUUUUUUUUUUUCAGCGCAAUACGUCUUUUUCUAUAUCUCAGCCCUCAAACGGCACCGACGUCGUGCGCAGGCCGACCGGUGCCCCAACUUGCACAAGCCGUCGUCGAUAGAAAUUUUUUUAAAAAAAGGAGCAAUCAAUUCAUGCCCUCGGACGGGGGCAAGGAGAGCAAGGGGACAAUCCGUCAAUUGCGCAUCAUGCCCGAUGUGGGCCAGUCGGCCACGCCGCAUCACCGAGCCCACCCAACACAUGAAUGCGAGACAACGAUGUGUUUUCUCUUUCUUUUGAGACAAUCCGGCGCUGUGUCUUUAUUAAAAGCCCCGCAACGUUUAUUUUGUUGUUUGUUUUGUGGGAGCUGGAGAGGGACAGAUCCGCCCCGUCACGGUGUCGCCGUGUGUGUGGCCGAAGGGGGGAAAAAAAAAAGUUGUCGCGUUGCAAAAGUGUUGGGAGACAUUUUCCCCCCCCCCCCCCCCAAACGUCCUUCCAACGUCUCCGACGGAAUCUCUCUCGUCUGAUUGGAGCGCGCGUCGUCGCUUUUUGUAGACGCGAGGCACUGACGUGUAUAUUGAGAAGGCUCCGCCUCUUCUAUUUUUAUAUUUCGAAAAGGAGAAAAAAAGGUUUUGUACUCCUCCUGUGUGCUGGAAAACUAUUUAUUGCCUAAAUUAUUGAGCUGCUGUCGUUUUCAACCACUAAUGUGUCGAACGGCACCCAAGGGAUCGCCGGGGGCGCCUUCUGGCCGCCCGCGUCGUCUUGGGUCCGUCACCGAGUCACAACGGGCUGGCGCCUCUGUUCCACAUCUCCAAGUACUUUUUUUUGUUUUUUUUUUUUUACGUUCCGUUCAUUCGUCUCAUCAGUGAACGUCCAACCACGACCAAUGUCUCGGCCCCGUCGUACCCGAAACGGAAAGCAAACAUGACGAGAUGGCAAGAAAGGCUGAACUUUUAUGAACCAACUUGGAUUUGUUUUUUCGUGGAGUGAAAGUUGCAAUCGUAUGAAGAUAAAGUCACAUUUUUUGAGCUUCAAUGUGCCAUGGCGAUGAAACAACAUGAGCUGUUCCUUCCUUGAGAGUUUGGCGCUCCUGCGUUGCGCUCCGCUCAGAUGGAUGCUUGCGGGGAAAAUCUUCAUUCUUGUUCUGUUACUUUUUCGAAGAAUACUCAAAGGAUCAGACUUCAUUUCUGUCAUUUGCAACUGUUUUCUAUCAAAAUACACGAAUCUCAUCAUGCAACUC
Molecule: long non-coding RNA, 1930 nt
Organism: Hippocampus comes (tiger tail seahorse)
Lineage: Eukaryota; Metazoa; Chordata; Actinopteri; Syngnathiformes; Syngnathidae
Exons: 2
Source: RefSeq, a predicted model, not a curated record